RNAcentral lists this ribosomal RNA (204 nucleotides) under uncultured bacterium. RNAcentral's name for it is "partial 16S ribosomal RNA". It matches the Rfam family "Bacterial small subunit ribosomal RNA", at positions 570 to 773 of the family's 1533-position model. The record is from RNAcentral.
CGUAGGCGGCCCGCUAAGUCGAACGUGAAAUCCCCGGGCUCAACCCGGGAACUGCGUCCGAUACUGGCGGGCUUGAAUCCGGGAGAGGGAUGCGGAAUUCCAGGUGUAGCGGUGAAAUGCGUAGAUAUCUGGAGGAACACCGGUGGCGAAGGCGGCAUCCUGGACCGGCAUUGACGCUGAGGCGCGAAAGCCAGGGGAGCAAAG